CAGCAGCCGCGGGAAUACGAAGGGGGCUAGCGUUGUUCGGAUUUACUGGGCGUAAAGGGCGCGUAGGCGGACUGAUAAGUCAGGGGUGAAAUCCCAAGGCUCAACCUUGGAACUGCCUUUGAUACUGUUUGUCUUGAGUUCGAGAGAGGUAAGUGGAACUGCGAGUGUAGAGGUGAAAUUCGUAGAUAUUCGCAAGAACACCAGUGGCGAAGGCGGCUCACUGGCCCGAUACUGACGCUCAUGCACGAAAGCGUGGGGAGCAAACAGGAUUAGAUACCCGUGUAGUCCCUGUCUCUUAUAC
Molecule: ribosomal RNA, 301 nt
Filed under: uncultured bacterium
Lineage: Bacteria
Description: partial 16S ribosomal RNA
Rfam family: Bacterial small subunit ribosomal RNA
Source: RNAcentral